UCACUCUGGUUUCUCUUCAGAUCGCAUAAAUCUUUCGCCUUUUACUAAGGAUUUCCGUGGAGAGGAACAGUUAUGAGUUUCGACCCAAUUUUUUGAGUUUCUUUCUUUCUUUCUU
Alligator mississippiensis (American alligator) is the source of this 115-nucleotide small nuclear RNA. It matches the Rfam family "U5 spliceosomal RNA". Rfam says of the family: U5 RNA is a component of both types of known spliceosome. Lineage: Eukaryota; Metazoa; Chordata; Crocodylia; Alligatoridae. The record is from Rfam.